RNAcentral lists this small nuclear RNA (161 nucleotides) under Triticum aestivum (bread wheat). RNAcentral describes it as "snRNA U1". It matches the Rfam family "U1 spliceosomal RNA". From Rfam's summary of the family: U1 is a small nuclear RNA (snRNA) component of the spliceosome (involved in pre-mRNA splicing). Its 5' end forms complementary base pairs with the 5' splice junction, thus defining the 5' donor site of an intron. There are significant differences in sequence and secondary structure between metazoan and yeast U1 snRNAs, the latter being much longer (568 nucleotides as compared to 164 nucleotides in human). The record is from RNAcentral. Lineage: Eukaryota; Viridiplantae; Streptophyta; Magnoliopsida; Poales; Poaceae.
UAACUUACCUGGACGGGGUCGACGACUGAUCAUGAAGAGUCGUGGCCUAGGCUAGUGGUCCACAUUGCAUUUGGUGGAUGCGCUGGCUUACCAUCUCCUCAAGUGGGAGAGUGGACGUCAUAAUUUAUGAUAGAGGGGGUACGCGUUCGCGCGGCCCCUAU